UGGUCCAAUGAUGGUGGCUGAUGGCGUAUGAGUCAUGAUUAAUGAGUAUGCGUCUGGAACUCUGAGGUCCAG
Molecule: small nucleolar RNA, 72 nt
Organism: Vulpes vulpes (red fox)
Lineage: Eukaryota; Metazoa; Chordata; Mammalia; Carnivora; Canidae
Source: Ensembl